Molecule: ribosomal RNA, 253 nt
Filed under: uncultured bacterium
Lineage: Bacteria
Description: partial 16S ribosomal RNA
Rfam family: Bacterial small subunit ribosomal RNA
Source: RNAcentral
UACAGAGGGUGCAAGCGUUAAUCGGAAUUACUGGGCGUAAAGCGUGCGUAGACGGUUAUGUAAGUCAGGUGUGAAAGCCCCGGGCUCAACCUGGGAAUUGCAUUUGAGACUGCAUAGCUAGGGUGCGAAAGAGGGAAGCGGAAUUUCCGGUGUAGCGGUGAAAUGCGUAGAUAUCGGAAGGAACAUCAGUGGCGAAAGCGGCUUCCUGGUCCAGCACCGACGUUCAGGCACGAAAGCGUGGGGAGCAAACAGG